Molecule: unclassified non-coding RNA, 293 nt
Filed under: Chytridiomycota sp.
Lineage: Eukaryota; Fungi; Chytridiomycota
Description: partial contains small subunit ribosomal RNA, internal transcribed spacer 1, and 5.8S ribosomal RNA
Rfam family: Eukaryotic small subunit ribosomal RNA (bases 1-47)
Source: RNAcentral
AAAGUCGUAACAAGGUAACCGUAGGUGAACCUGCGGUUGGAUCAUUAUUGAUUUUACCAUGAUUUUAUUUUUUACUCUAUAGAGGUUUGAUGCCUUUUAAAAGGCUCCCUUUUUUUAGGUAGAUAUAUAAAAUCAUUUCAACACCAUGUGCAAUGUAAUUGUUUUUUGGGCCUUUGAAGCAAUUUGUUUCCAAGGUCCUGAAUUUUUAUUAAACCCUAUUUUAAAUUUGACUGAUUAAACCAAGAUUUUAAUAAAUCAAAAUACAACUUUUGACAACGGAUCUCUUGGCUCUC